CCUACGGGGGGCAGCAGUGAGGAAUAUUGGUCAAUGGGCGCGAGCCUGAACCAGCCAAGUCGCGUGAGGGAAGACGGCCCUAUGGAUUGUAAACCUCUUUUGUCGGGGAGCAAAAGACGCCACGUGUGGCGUUCCGAGAGUACCCGAAGAAAAAGCCUCGGCUAACUCCGUGCCCGCAGCCGCGGUAAUACGGAGGAUGCGAGCGUUAUCCGGAUUUAUUGGGUUUAAAGGGUGCGCAGGCGGAAGAUCAAGUCAGCGGUAAAAUUGCGGGGCUCAACCCCUUCGAGCCGUUGAAACUGGUGUUCUUGAGUGGGUGAGAAGUAUGCGGAAUGCGUGGUGUAGCGGUGAAAUGCAUAGAUAUCACGCAGAACUCCGAUUGCGAAGGCAGCAUACCGGCGCUCAACUGACGCUGAAGCACGAAAGUGUGGGUAUCGAACAGGAUUAGAUACCCGUGUAGUC
Molecule: ribosomal RNA, 459 nt
Filed under: uncultured bacterium
Lineage: Bacteria
Description: partial 16S ribosomal RNA
Rfam family: Bacterial small subunit ribosomal RNA
Source: RNAcentral